RNAcentral lists this ribosomal RNA (500 nucleotides) under uncultured bacterium. RNAcentral describes it as "partial 16S ribosomal RNA". It matches the Rfam family "Bacterial small subunit ribosomal RNA", at positions 30 to 523 of the family's 1533-position model. The record is from RNAcentral.
AUUGAACGCUGGCGGAAUGCUUUACACAUGCAAGUCGAGCGGCAGCGCGGGGGCAACCCUGGCGGCGAGCGGCGAACGGGUGAGUAACACAUCGGAACGUACCUUUUAGUGGGGGAUAACUAUCCGAAAGGAUAGCUAAUACCGCAUACGCCCUGAGGGGGAAAGGGGGGGAUCGCAAGACCUCUCGCUAAAAGAGCGGCCGAUGUCGGAUUAGCUAGUUGGUGAGGUAAAGGCUCACCAAGGCGACGAUCCGUAGCUGGUCUGAGAGGAUGAUCAGCCACACUGGGGCUGAGACACGGCCCAGAUUCCUACGGGAGGCAGCAGUGGGGAAUUUUGGACAAUGGGGGCAACCCUGAUCCAGCCAUUCCGCGUGAGUGAAGAAGGCCUUCGGGUUGUAAAGCUCUUUCGGCAGGAACGAAACGGUGGGUCCUAAUACGAUCUGCUAAUGACGGUACCUGAAGAAGAAGCUCCGGCUAACUACGUGCCAGCCGCCGCAGUAA